UACGUAGGGUGCGAGCGUUAAUCGGAAUUACUGGGCGUAAAGGGCGCGUAGGCGGUGUGUCAAGUCAGGCGUGAAAGCCCCGGGCUCAACCUGGGAACCGCGCUUGAGACUGGCACGCUAGAGUUCGGGAGAGGAUGGUGGAAUUCCCAGUGUAGAGGUGAAAUUCGUAGAUAUUGGGAAGAACACCAGUGGCGAAGGCGGCUCACUGGACUGGUAUUGACGCUGAGGUGCGAAAGCGUGGGGAGCAAACAGG
RNAcentral lists this ribosomal RNA (253 nucleotides) under uncultured bacterium. Its description in RNAcentral is "partial 16S ribosomal RNA". It matches the Rfam family "Bacterial small subunit ribosomal RNA", at positions 524 to 776 of the family's 1533-position model. The record is from RNAcentral.